GACGAACGCUGGCGGCGUGCCUAACACAUGCAAGUCGAGCGGGGAUUUAAGUGGAAGUUCUUCGGAAUGGAGAUUUAAAUUCUAGCGGCGGACGGGUGAGUAACGCGUGAACAAUCUGUCCCGGACAGGGGGAUAACACUUGGAAACAGGUGCUAAUACCGCAUAAGACCACGGCCUCGCAUGGGGCUGAGGUAAAAGGAGCAAUCCGGUUCGGGGUGAGUUCGCGUCCGAUUAGCUAGUUGGUGAGGUAACGGCCCACCAAGGCGACGAUCGGUAGCCGGCCUGAGAGGGUGAACGGCCACAUUGGAACUGAGAGACGGUCCAACCUGCUACGGGAGGCAGCAGUGGGGAAUAUUGGGCAAUGGGCGAAAGCCUGACCCAGCAACGCCGCGUGAGGGAAGAAGGUUUUCGGAUUGUAAACCUCUGUCCUAUGGGACGAAGGAAGUGACGGUACCAUAGGAGGAAGCCCCGGCUAACUACGUG
Molecule: ribosomal RNA, 483 nt
Filed under: uncultured bacterium
Lineage: Bacteria
Description: partial 16S ribosomal RNA
Rfam family: Bacterial small subunit ribosomal RNA
Source: RNAcentral